RNAcentral lists this small RNA (272 nucleotides) under Marmota monax (woodchuck). Lineage: Eukaryota; Metazoa; Chordata; Mammalia; Rodentia; Sciuridae. The record is from RNAcentral.
UUAAUCAUAUGUUGGUUGAGAACAACUUCAAGCUGGUCAUAUAGCCCUUGGAACACCCCCAUUUUUGUUAUUAAGAAAAAAUCAGGUAGUUGGAGGUUAUUACAGGAUCUGAGGGCAAUAAAUCAUGCAAUUCAGCCUAUAGGAUCAUUACAGUCUGAACUUCCUUCUCCUACAGCUAUUCCUUCAGAUUAUAGUUUAAUAGUAAUAGACCUGAAAGGUUGUUUCUUUUCAAUAAAAUUACAUCCUGAGGAUUGCAAAAAAUUUGCUUUCAG